UACGGAGGAUGCGAGCGUUAUCCGGAUUUAUUGGGUUUAAAGGGUGCGUAGGCGGUUGUAUAAGUCAGCGGUGAAAUUUUCCGGCUUAACCGGGAGACUGCCGUUGAUACUGUAUAGCUUGAAUACGGUUGCUGUGAGUGGAAUGUGUGGUGUAGCGGUGAAAUGCAUAGAUAUCACACAGAAUAUCGAUUGCGAAGGCAGCUCACAAAGCCGUUAUUGACGCUGAUGCACGAAAGUGUGGGGAUCAAACAGG
RNAcentral lists this ribosomal RNA (253 nucleotides) under uncultured bacterium. Its description in RNAcentral is "partial 16S ribosomal RNA". It matches the Rfam family "Bacterial small subunit ribosomal RNA", at positions 524 to 776 of the family's 1533-position model. The record is from RNAcentral.